RNAcentral lists this transfer RNA (85 nucleotides) under Caldanaerobius fijiensis DSM 17918. RNAcentral's name for it is "tRNA_Leu_TAG". It matches the Rfam family "tRNA". From Rfam's summary of the family: Transfer RNA (tRNA) molecules are approximately 80 nucleotides in length. The record is from RNAcentral. Lineage: Bacteria; Bacillati; Bacillota; Clostridia; Thermoanaerobacterales; Thermoanaerobacteraceae.
GCGGGAGUGGCGGAACUGGCAGACGCGCCAGACUUAGGAUCUGGUGCCGCAAGGCAUGGGGGUUCAAGUCCCUUCUCCCGCACCG